RNAcentral lists this ribosomal RNA (882 nucleotides) under uncultured fungus. RNAcentral describes it as "eukaryotic LSU rRNA". The stretch from base 603 to 882 matches the Rfam family "Eukaryotic large subunit ribosomal RNA", at positions 1 to 269 of the family's 3401-position model. The record is from RNAcentral. Lineage: Eukaryota; Fungi.
UUGUGACCGUUUUUAACCUCUGCAAAACCGGCUGCUCAUGAAUGUAAAAAGUUUGUGACUCGCCGGCUAGUAACAGAGCGUAUUUACCUAUUAACCAUUUUAACCAAUCUUUAUAACUUUAUGAACUAACUUUAUUUUAUACUCUUCGGAGAUAAAAUUCAUUACGAAACAAAGAACAACUCUUAGCAACGGAUAUCUUGGUUCUCGUAACGAUGAAGAACGCAGCGAAAUGCGAUACGUAAUGCGAAUUGCAGAAUUCAGUGAAUCAUCAAAUCUUUGAACGCAAAUUGCGCUUUCCGGAUAGGCCGGGGAGCAUGCCUCUUUGAGUCUCGUUUCUACCUCAUCUCGAAUGCUUUUUGUGAAUAACGAAUUGCAGUCGGAUAAUGAGCGUCUCAUUCGAAAUGAGUGAGUCGCUUUAAGAAGCGUGAGUUCCUAAACUCCUAGUCUGAAGUCGAUUUAUCGGCUGCCUUUUGAUAGGUAAUUACAGCUAGUGACGUGGAUAAAUUUAUUUUUCAACGUCGCUCGGUUAUAAUGACUUGUCUUAAUGGUUAACUUACAUAAGGAAACCUGGUUCUCAAAGGAAAUUAAAUUCUUUUUGAAUUAGAGCUCAAAUGAAGCAAGAUUACCCGCUGAACUUAAGCAUAUUAUUAAGCGGAGGAAAAGAAACUAACAAGGAUGCCCUCAGUAACGGCGAGUGAAGCGGGCAAAGCUCAACCUGAAAAUCGGAUUUCCUAGCGGGAUUUCGAAUUGUGGGCUACAGACGCGAGAUCAGCGUGUUACCCUGGUAUAAGUGAGUCUUAUUGGAAUACUACAUCAUAGAGGGUGAAAAUCCCGUCUGUGACCAGGAGUUAGCCGCGUACGAUCCGUGUUCGCAGAGUCGCG